This 468-nucleotide ribosomal RNA is filed under the name uncultured bacterium. RNAcentral's name for it is "partial 16S ribosomal RNA". It matches the Rfam family "Bacterial small subunit ribosomal RNA", at positions 28 to 507 of the family's 1533-position model. The record is from RNAcentral.
GACGAACGCUGGCGGCGUGCUUAACACAUGCAAGUCGAACGGUAAGGCCCUGCCUUUGUGGGGUGCUCGAGUGGCGAACGGGUGAGUAACACGUGAGUAACCUGCCCUUGACUUUGGGAUAACUUCAGGAAACUGGGGCUAAUACCGGAUAGGAGCUCCUGCUGCAUGGUGGGGGUUGGAAAGUUUUGGCGGUUGGGGAUGGACUCGCGGCUUAUCAGCUUGUUGGUGGGGUAGUGGCUUACCAAGGCUUUGACGGGUAGCCGGCCUGAGAGGGUGACCGGCCAGAGUGGGACUGAGAUACGGCCCAGACUCCUGCGGGAGGCAGCAGUGAGGAAUAUUGCACAAUGGGAGGAAGCCUGAUGCAGCAACGCCGCGGGCGGGAUGACGGCCGGCGGGUUGUAACCCGCUUUCGCCUAUGACGGAGUGUGAGUGACGGUAAUGGGUGAAGAAGCACUGGCUAACUACGUG